AUAGAAACGUCUUGAAAUAUUGCUUAAUUACCGCCUUUUUACUAACAACCGCUCUGGUAUUUGGGCUUUUAUCACGCUCAAAGAAAAUGCGUUUUCUGUGGAAAAGAUUAAGACUAUCCCUGAUAUUGGAGGUUCAAAGGUUACUGGAGCGUCUUUCAAGAGGUCAAGUGCAAG
Long non-coding RNA from Physella acuta, 174 nucleotides. RefSeq lists it as uncharacterized. NCBI's taxonomy places the organism in Eukaryota, Metazoa, Mollusca, Gastropoda, Physidae. The record is from RefSeq and is a predicted model, not a curated record.